AUGAAACCCCAACCAUUCUUCCCUUCUUUAAUGGUGCUGGCUUGCGAUGGCUCCGACCUCCUCGUCAGGUUCGAGCUGCUCUCGCUUCUCCGUUGCUCAACUCUUCGCGGGAUCUUCAUUGCUUUUCAAACUGAUUUCGGUACAGAUCUAAGUAUUAGCCCCCCUGUUGGAAACCUCGAGGAUCACUGUAAAGACAUCACUUUCCAGUUAUUUUGGUAG
Molecule: non-coding RNA, 219 nt
Organism: Vicia faba (fava bean)
Lineage: Eukaryota; Viridiplantae; Streptophyta; Magnoliopsida; Fabales; Fabaceae
Source: the annotation of a GenBank genome assembly